Molecule: ribosomal RNA, 414 nt
Filed under: uncultured bacterium
Lineage: Bacteria
Description: bacterial SSU rRNA
Rfam family: Bacterial small subunit ribosomal RNA
Source: RNAcentral
UAAGGAAUAUUGGUCAAUGGACGCAAGUCUGAACCAGCCAUGCCGCGUGAAGGAUGAAGGUCCUCUGGAUUGUAAACUUCUUUUAUCUGGGACGAAAACGGGAUUUUUAUCUCAAUUAACGGUACCAGAGGAAUAAGCACCGGCUAACUCCGUGCCAGCAGCCGCGGUAAUACGGAGGGUGCGAGCGUUAUCCGGAUUUACUGGGUUUAACGGGUGCGUAGGUGGGCUUAUAAGUCAGUGGUGAAAUCUCCGGGCUUAACUUGGAAACUGCCGUUGAUACUAUAGGUCUUGAAUUAUCUGGAGGUAAGCGGAAUAUGUCAUGUAGCGGUGAAAUGCUUAGAUAUGACAUAGAACACCAAUUGCGAAGGCAGCUUACUACAUAUAAAUUGACGCUGAGGCACGAAAGCGUGGGGA